UGAUGCCAACAAGGAUGUACAAGCAUUGCUGGCAGGACACACAAAGGAGGUUGAGUCGGAGCCUCAGUUGAAGUUGCUUCUACCUUAUAUAGUUUCAGCAUUUGGUGCUCAUAAAUCAGUUUCUGAGGUUAUAGAAGAGUUAAAGAAGCACCAACAAAGUGCUGAUGCUGCAGUAGCGGAAUGGGCUAGUGAUGCUCUUCUUGGCAUCGGAAAGGGUGCACCCUUUUCUCUCUGCUUGACCCACAAGCAUUUCUCUGAGGUUGCUUCUGCAUAUGGAAA
Molecule: unclassified non-coding RNA, 279 nt
Filed under: Hevea brasiliensis (rubber tree)
Lineage: Eukaryota; Viridiplantae; Streptophyta; Magnoliopsida; Malpighiales; Euphorbiaceae
Source: RNAcentral